AGAUAACCGCUGAAAGCAUCUAAGCGGGAAACUCGCCUUAAGAUGAGAUAUCCCUGGGGACUUGAUCCCCUUGAAGGGUCGUUCGAGACCAGGACGUUGAUAGGUCAGGUGUGUAAGCGCAGUAAUGCGUUCAGCUAACUGAUACUAAUUGCCCGUAAGGCUUGAUCCUAUAACA
RNAcentral lists this ribosomal RNA (175 nucleotides) under Burkholderia ubonensis. RNAcentral's name for it is "partial 23S ribosomal RNA". It matches the Rfam family "Bacterial large subunit ribosomal RNA", at positions 2762 to 2925 of the family's 2925-position model. Lineage: Bacteria; Pseudomonadati; Pseudomonadota; Betaproteobacteria; Burkholderiales; Burkholderiaceae. The record is from RNAcentral.